UGCAGUCGAGCGGACAGAUGGGAGCUUGCUCCCUGAUGUUAGCGGCGGACGGGUGAGUAACACGUGGGUAACCUGCCUGUAAGACUGGGAUAACUCCGGGAAACCGGGGCUAAUACCGGAUGGUUGUUUGAACCGCAUGGUUCAGACAUAAAAGGUGGCUUCGGCUACCACUUACAGAUGGACCCGCGGCGCAUUAGCUAGUUGGUGAGGUAACGGCUCACCAAGGCGACGAUGCGUAGCCGACCUGAGAGGGUGAUCGGCCACACUGGGACUGAGACACGGCCCAGACUCCUACGGGAGGCAGCAGUAGGGAAUCUUCCGCAAUGGACGAAAGUCUGACGGAGCAACGCCGCGUGAGUGAUGAAGGUUUUCGGAUCGUAAAGCUCUGUUGUUAGGGAAGAACAAGUGCCGUUCAAAUAGGGCGGCACCUUGACGGUACCUAACCAGAAAGCCACGGCUAACUACGUGCCAGCAGCCGCGGUAAUACGUAGGUGGCAAGCGUUGUCCGGAAUUAUUGGGCGUAAAGGGCUCGCAGGCGGUUUCUUAAGUCUGAUGUGAAAGCCCCCGGCUCAACCGGGGAGGGUCAUUGGAAAACUGGGGAACUUGAGUGC
Molecule: ribosomal RNA, 611 nt
Filed under: Bacillus amyloliquefaciens
Lineage: Bacteria; Bacillati; Bacillota; Bacilli; Caryophanales; Bacillaceae
Description: bacterial SSU rRNA
Rfam family: Bacterial small subunit ribosomal RNA
Source: RNAcentral